AGAGUUUGAUCCUGGCUCAGGAUGAACGCUGGCGGCGUGCCUAAUACAUGCAAGUCGAGCGAACAGACGAGGAGCUUGCUCCUUUGACGUUAGCGGCGGACGGGUGAGUAACACGUAGGUAACCUACCUAUAAGACUGGGAUAACUUCGGGAAACCGGAGCUAAUACCGGAUAAUAUUUCGAACCGCAUGGUUCGAUAGUGAAAGAUGGCUUUGCUAUCACUUAUAGAUGGACCUGCGCCGUAUUAGCUAGUUGGUAAGGUAACGGCUUACCAAGGCAACGAUACGUAGCCGACCUGAGAGGGUGAUCGGCCACACUGGAACUGAGACACGGUCCAGACUCCUACGGGAGGCAGCAGUAGGGAAUCUUCCGCAAUGGGCGAAAGCCUGACGGAGCAACGCCGCGUGAGUGAUGAAGGUCUUCGGAUCGUAAAACUCUGUUAUUAGGGAAGAACAAACGUGUAAGUAACUGUGCACGUCUUGACGGUACCUAAUCAGAAAGCCACGGCUAACUACGUGCCAGCAGCCGCGGUAAUACGUAGGUGGCAAGCGUUAUCCGGAAUUAUUGGGCGUAAAGCGCGCGUAGGCGGUUUUUUAAGUCUGAUGUGAAAGCCCACGGCUCAACCGUGGAGGGUCAUUGGAAACUGGAAAACUUGAGUGCAGAAGAGGAAAGUGGAAUUCCAUGUGUAGCGGUGAAAUGCGCAGAGAUAUGGAGGAACACCAGUGGCGAAGGCGAUUUUCUGAUCUGUAACUGACGCUGAUGUGCGAAAGCGUGGGGAUCAAACAGGAUUAGAUACCCUGGUAGUCCACGCCGUAAACGAUGAGUGCUAAGUGUUAGGGGGUUUCCGCCCCUUAGUGCUGCAGCUAACGCAUUAAGCACUCCGCCUGGGAGUACGACGCAAGGUUGAAACUCAAAGGAAUUGACGG
RNAcentral lists this ribosomal RNA (925 nucleotides) under uncultured bacterium. Its description in RNAcentral is "bacterial SSU rRNA". It matches the Rfam family "Bacterial small subunit ribosomal RNA", at positions 8 to 916 of the family's 1533-position model. The record is from RNAcentral.